Molecule: long non-coding RNA, 4882 nt
Filed under: Xyrichtys novacula (pearly razorfish)
Lineage: Eukaryota; Metazoa; Chordata; Actinopteri; Labriformes; Labridae
Source: RNAcentral
GGGAUGCAGUCUGGGACACGUAGUUGCAAACCUAGCGACUUUGUUGUUAGAUUCAAUGACUUUUCAGACCCCCUAACGACUUUUUUUUAGAAAGAAAGGGACUUUUAUCGACUUCUUCUGGAGUUUAGAGACUCUGACAUGAAGCAGGCUUUCCUUACUGAGGAGUUAGCAACGCUGCUAAGGGUGCAGAGCCACACAUGCGCUCAGAGCUCUGCAUGGGAGACUGAAGCUGACAGAGCUGCAGCAGUUAGCAGGUUUCACCCUCAGAGACCACCAGGGGUUCAUGUUGAGGCAUUUUAAUUUUUUUUUUUUUUUUUGUGCCAUAGACACUGUCAGCACAAUCUGCAGUUACACUAACAAAAAUGCUGCAAAAAACAAAGAAUUAUGGAAAAAUUACACAUGGACUGACAUAGAGGAGGAUCUACACAAGUUUUUUACAUCAUGUUUUACAUCAUGCAUCAUUUACAUCAUGCUUUUUUGUAGUGGCAUAAAUAAAAAGUGACAUUUGUGAGACUAUACAGUGUUUUGUAAAUAAUUUUACAAAGAACGCCUGGGCCAUUGCCUGCAUUUUGAUAUAAAUAGAGGUAAAUCACUAUGUUCUUUGUUAAAAAUUUGCAUAUGUUUUGAAGUUUACAAUUUUUAUUUGAAGUUUAAGUUUUAAAAACAGUUCAUCACACAUAUUUGUGGUUUUCACAGUAAAAAUGUUACUUUUUUCCACUCGGAUUUUAUGUUUUGUGUGUGAAUUUGGGUCCAUUGUGUAAAUUCAGUAUGUCAACAUGAUAAAAUAACUGUAAAUUCGCACAGGUGAGGUUGUGCUGAAAAAAAUGAUACCAGGCAAGGCACGUGAUUGUCAAAUUUUGUGUCAAUAUGACGAAGCGUAUAGGCGUGAAUCUCAACAAUAUGUAUUUUCACCUUAGGGGACAAGAAAAAAAUGGACUUUUUUCUCCUGCCAUGGGGGGGCGCUCUUUUGGGGAGUAAAAAUUCCUUCACAAAUGUGUUGAUGGCUGGACAUUGCAUCAUCCUAGAAAACUUGGAGGCCAGUGAGGACAAAAAUAAAAAGUUAUAAGACUUUUAAAUAUGUGGAUUUUAGGGUUAUCUUUGGCGCCCCCUAGAACCUAAACCGUGGGGUGCAGCGUCAUGAUUUGAAUAACUUUUAAUGGCCAUGGGGUGUAGAUUGGCCUGAGCAAAUGUGGUGCCGGUGGAACGAAAGCCUUAGGAGGAGUUAGCCACAUUCCAAUGUGUGCAGAUCGGCAAAAAAUGCGGAAUAACCCUUUAACCGUACAUUUGACAGAUACGCGCGCGUUGACUUUUUCGAAGAUCUUAUUGAAAUACACGUGUAUGUAAAAUUUUGUGUCAAUACGACAAAACAUACAGGCGUAGCACUCAACAAUGUGAAUUUUCACCUUAGUGGACAAGAAAAAAUGGACUUUUUUCUCCUGCCAUGGGGGGGCGCUCUUUUGGCGAGUAAAAAUUCCUUCACAAAUGUGUUGAUGGCUGGACAUUGCAUCAUCCUAGAAAACUUGGAGGCCAGUGGGGACAAAAAUAAAAAGUUAUAAGACUUUUAAAUAUGUGGAUUUUACGGUUAUCUUUGGCGCCCCCUAGAACCUAAACCGUGGGGUGCAGCGUCAUGAUUUGAAUAACUUUUAAUGGCCAUGGGGUGUAGAUUGGCCUGAGCAAAUGUGGUGCCGGUGGAACGAAAGCCUUCGGAGGAGUUAGCGAAAUUCCAAUGUGUGCGGAUCGGCAAAAAAUGCGAAAUAACCCUUUAACCGUACAUUUGACAGAUACGCCCGCACUGACUUUUUUGUAGAUCUUAUUGAGAUACAUGUGUGUGUCAAUUUUUGUGUCAUUUUGACAAAGCGUACAGGCGUGACAGUCAAUAGUGUGAAUUUUCACCUUAGGGGGCGCUAUGGAGCCAUUUUGCAUUUUCUUGUUUGGGCGACUUCGGAAUAUCGAAUUUUUCACCAGGCCCGGUCGUCCUGCCAAAUUUCAUGAGUUUUCGCCAGUGGGAAGUGGGCCAUUUUCCAGUUCAAAGGGGAGGAAAAAUAAUAACUAGGGCCCCGUUGGGGCACUGGCGGGCCCGAGCCGUGUCACGCCGCCCCCAGCGCGACCGCCUCCCCCACCCGAUCGCGUCACACUCAAGGUCCAAAGAUGGUGUGCGCACUUGUUUGUGGUCAUUUACCAUUAUAAUGAACGGGAGGCGCAGUUUCUACCAAAACGCUCGCUGCAGAAAAACUCCAUGUCCUAUUUGAAAAAAGUCUGGACCAUGAGUGAGGGCACAAACACAGCUAAGAUAUAUCCAAAUGGCAAGUUGCUCCUCCUUUCGCUUUUGCCGAGAGAGCAGUGCGUUUGAGCCAUUGAACGAUGAACAGGAAAAACUUGACUUUAUUCUCCUGCCAUGGGGGGGCGCUCUUUUAAAGAGAAAAAACUCCUUCACAAAUGUGUUGAUGGCUGGACAUUGCAUCAUCCUAGAAAACAUGGAGGCCAGUGAGGACAAAAAUAAAAAGUUAUAAGACUUUUAAAUAUGUGGAUUUUAGGGUUAUAUUUGGCGCCCCCUAGAACCUAAACCGUGGGGUGCAGCGUCAUGAUUUGAAUAACUUUUAAUGGCCAUGGGGUGUAGAUUGGCCUGAGCAAAUGUGGUGCCGGUGGAACGAAAGCCUUCGGAGGAAUUAGCGAAAUUCCAAUGUGUGCGAAUCUGCAAAAAAUGCGAAAUAACCCUUUAACCGUACAUUUUACAGAUACGUGGCCAUUGACUUUUUCGAAGAUCUUAUGUAAAUACACGUGUAUGUAAAAUUUUGUGUCAAUUCGACAAAACAUACAGGCGUAGCACUCAACAAUGUGUAUUUUCACCUUAGUGGACAAGAAAAAAUUGACUUUUUUCUCCUGCCAUGGGGGGGCGCUCUUUUGGGGAGUAAAAAUUCCUUCACAAAUGUGUUGAUGGCUGGACAUUGCAUCAUCCUAGAAAACUUGGAGGCCAGUGAGGGCAAAAAUAAAAAGUUAUAAGACUUUUAAAUAUGUGGAUCUUAGGGUUAUCUUUGGCGCCCCCUAGAACCUAAACCGUGGGGUGCAGCGUCAUGAUUUGAAUAACUUUUAAUGGCCAUGGGGUGUAGAUUGGCCUGAGCAAAUGUGGUGCCGGUGGAACGAAAGCCUUCGGAGGAGUUAGCGAAAUUCCAAUGUGUGCGGAUCGGCAAAAAAUGCGAAAUAACCCUUUAACCGUACAUUUGACAGAUACGCCCGCACUGACUUUUUUGUAGAUCUUAUUGAGAUACAUGUGUGUGUCAAUUUUUGUGUCAAUAUGACAUGAGAAGGGAGGGAGGGACUCUCAGCAGGGAUGCAGUCUGGGACACGUAGUUGCAAACCUAGCGACUUUGUUGUUAGAUUCAAUUACUUUUCAGACCCCCUAACGACUUUUUUUUAGAAAGAAAGGGACUUUUAUCGACUUCUUCUGGAGUUUAGAGACUCUGACAUGAAGCAGGCUUUCCUUACUGAGGAGUUAGCAACGCUGCUAAGGGUGCAGAGCCACACAUGCGCUCCGAGCUCUGCAUGGGAGACUGAAGCUGACAGAGCUGCAGCAGUUAGCAGGUUUCACCCUCAGAGACCACCAGGGGUUCAUGUUGAGGCAUUUUCAGUUUUUGUUUUUUUUGCCAUAGACUGUCAGCACAAUCUGCAGUUACACUAACAAAAAUGCUGCAAAAAACAAAGAAUUAUGGAAAAAUUACACAUGGACUGACAUAGAGGAGGAUCUACACAAGUUUUUUACAUCAUGUUUUACAUCAUGCAUCAUUUACAUCAUGUUUUUUUGUAGUGGCAUAAAUAAAAAGUGACAUUUGUGAGACUAUACAGUGUUUUGUAAAUAAUUUUACAAAGAACGCCUGGGCCAUUGCCUGCAUUUUGAUGUAAAUAGAGGUAAAUUACUAUGUUCUUUGUUAAAAAUUUGCAUAUGUUUUGAAGUUUACAAUUUUUAUUUGAAGUUUAAGUUUUAAAAACAGUUCAUCACACAUAUUUGUGUUUUAAUUUCACAUUAAUUUCCAUAUUGUAUAAAUGACUGGAAAAAACUUGAGCCCCUGCCCCUGUAUAAUCAUGUGCACGUCCCUGUUCUAGCUCCAAGGUGAAUCUUCACUGCUCAUGUUCUCCUCAGAAAUAGUCACCUCACUCCCCUCAGGUUACUGUACACAUGCACCAACUAUCUGCUUCAGGUUUGGAUGGAGCUUCAUGGUUGUCUUUUGGAGAAAUGAACAGUCAAGUUGUGUUUGAAAUCUGAUUUUUUUCAGGGGCAAAAGGAAGCCUCUGCAUUCUUGUCAAAUAUGUAAACAGCAUGUUUUUGCAGGUGCUAAAAAACAGACUCUGAGUGUGUGUGUGUGUGUGUGUGUGUGUGUGUGUGUGUAUAUGUGUGUGUAUCCUGCAGUACUCUGUACUCCUGCAGUGGCCAAAAAGACUUUUAAGAAUGUGGAUUUUUGGGUCAUCUUUGGCGCCCCCUAGAACUGCAGUACUCUGUACUCCUGCAGUGGCCAAAAUGACUUUUAAGAAUGUGGAUUUUUGGGUCAUCUUUGGUGCCCCCUAAAACAUAAACCGUGGGGUGCAGCGUCAUGAUUUUUACAACUUUGAAUGGCCAUGGGGUGUAGAUUGCCCUGAGCAAAUUUGGUAUCGGUGGGACGAAAGCCUUAGGAGGAGAUAGCCACAUUCCAAUGUGUGCGAAUCGGCAAAAAAUGCGAAAUAGCCCUUUAACCGUACAUUAUACAGAUACGCGCUUUUUGACUUUUUCGUAGAUCUAAUUGAGAUACACGUGAUUGUCAAUUUUUGUGUCAAUAUGACAAAGCGUUCAGGCAUGACACUCAACAAUGUGUAUUUUCAUGUAAGGGGACAAGAAAAAAUUGACUUUUUUCUC